This is a long non-coding RNA of Erpetoichthys calabaricus (reedfish), 1121 nucleotides long. RefSeq lists it as uncharacterized. NCBI's taxonomy places the organism in Eukaryota, Metazoa, Chordata, Cladistia, Polypteriformes, Polypteridae. The record is from RefSeq and is a predicted model, not a curated record. The transcript has 3 exons.
UGAACGCGCACGCAGAUCGGGCUGGCAACGGGAAUCAGGUAGUGACACACACCGCAUACGCUAAAUGAAAAAAACGUUAAAAACAUGCUUCGAAAGCUCGACCCAGUGUCGAAACCUCAGAAUCGAACGGCCCAUCACUAGCCAGGGGUCGUGAGAACAAAGUGGACGCUGGGAGGCGUGGAAUGUCGGGCUGCUUCGCCGGGUCGUGAGCUUCGAAGUUUUGGACAGCGUCCUCUCUUCUCGCACUGUUUGUGACACUUCAAGUGCUCCGUCGGCUCCUGGGAGAGUGGAAAUCGUUGGGAAUGAGUGUAAUCGGCGCCAUCGAAGCACGACUCUGUAAAUUGCCAUGCACGACUACUCACUGUCCUUACUUAAGCGAGAUGAAAGUCAUGUGAUGAAGUCAGGUGCCCCAGCUGUAUCCUGCAGUGCUAAGAAGCUGCCCAGUGAUGGCAUUUGACCUCAACACUUGAGAUCCAGCUGCCAUAAAACCCCGGAAGUCCCAGAAAGAGGCGUCAUUACUGGCUUGAGAAAACCACUAGACCCGGCUCCACUAGCAGCGACAGUUUCCAGAACUUAAUUUAAUUGAAUUCCUGUAUACAGGACAUACACUGAAGAGCAUCUUUUUAUUUUUUGUUUAUUAGCUUUGUCCUCAGACAAUAAUAGGGAUGAACCAGUUGUCACCCCACAAUUUCACUGUCUGCAGUAUGGAAUAACUAAGAAAGAAGGAUAAUUGGAUUGUUGAAAUAAUAAAAAAGUAAAUAGUUUUAUUAUUCUUAAUGGUUAAAAUAAAAAAAAACAAAAAAAACAAACACAAUAGUGUGUUUAGCAAUAUUUCAAUAAGAAAAGAAAAAGGUUGUAACUAUUUACAUCCCUGGCUGAAGGAUAAUUUGUCUGAGUAUCAUGCAUUUGUGUUAAAGAUCUGAACUUAUCACUGGAGACCAGAACAUGUCUUAGCAUGACAUACAUACAGCUCGAGGUCAUUUCAUCUCAAGCACUUGGAGAAAGAGGAUGGCAAACACGUCGAACUGCGAGUUUACCUAGAAAUUGACAAAUUGAAAGCAUCUGUUGUGAACUGGAGUCCGAAAGCACCCAAGUUUUAAAAACCUGCAUAACCACUUCCA